RNAcentral lists this ribosomal RNA (318 nucleotides) under uncultured bacterium. Its description in RNAcentral is "bacterial SSU rRNA". It matches the Rfam family "Bacterial small subunit ribosomal RNA", at positions 28 to 334 of the family's 1533-position model. The record is from RNAcentral.
GAUGAACGCUAGCGGCAGGCUUAACACAUGCAAGUCGAGGGGCAGCAUGAGACGGAGAUUCGUCAAAGUCUUGAUGGCGACCGGCGCAAGGGUGCGUAACGCGUGAGCAACUUGCCCGUUUCUGGGGCAUAACCGGUGGAAACGCCGACUAAUUCCCCAUAGUAUUGAUUCCAGGCAUCUGUUAUCAAUUAAAGAAUUUCGGAAACGGAUAGGCUCGCGUGACAUUAGCUAGAUGGCGGGGUAACGGCCCACCAUGGCGACGAUGUCUAGGGGUUCUGAGAGGAAGGUCCCCCACACUGGAACUGAGACACGGUCCAG